UUGAUCAUGGCUCAGAUUGAACGCUGGCGGCAGGCCUAACACAUGCAAGUCGAGCGGUAACAUUUCAAAAGCUUGCUUUUGAAGAUGACGAGCGGCGGACGGGUGAGUAAUGCCUGGGAAUUUGCCCAUUUGUGGGGGAUAACAGUUGGAAACGACUGCUAAUACCGCAUACGCCCUACGGGGGAAAGCAGGGGACCUUCGGGCCUUGCGCUGAUGGAUAAGCCCAGGUGGGAUUAGCUAGUAGGUGAGGUAAUGGCUCACCUAGGCAACGAUCCCUAGCUGGUCUGAGAGGAUGAUCAGCCACACUGGGACUGAGACACGGCCCAGACUCCUACGGGAGGCAGCAGUGGGGAAUAUUGCACAAUGGGGGAAACCCUGAUGCAGCCAUGCCGCGUGUGUGAAGAAGGCCUUCGGGUUGUAAAGCACUUUCAGCGAGGAGGAAAGGGUGUAAGUUAAUACCUUACAUCUGUGACGUUACUCGCAGAAGAAGCACCGGCUAACUCCGUGCCAGCAGCCGCGGUAAUACGGAGGGUGCGAGCGUUAAUCGGAAUUACUGGGCGUAAAGCGUGCGCAGGCGGUUUGUUAAGCGAGAUGUGAAAGCCCCGGGCUCAACCUGGGAACCGCAUUUCGAACUGGCAAACUAGAGUCUUGGAGAGGGGGGUAGAAUUCCAGGUGUAGCGGUGAAAUGCGUAGAGAUCUGGAGGAAUACCGGUGGCGAAGGCGGCCCCCUGGACAAAGACUGACGCUCAGGCACGAAAGCGUGGGGAGCAAACA
Molecule: ribosomal RNA, 774 nt
Filed under: uncultured Shewanella sp.
Lineage: Bacteria; Pseudomonadati; Pseudomonadota; Gammaproteobacteria; Alteromonadales; Shewanellaceae
Description: bacterial SSU rRNA
Rfam family: Bacterial small subunit ribosomal RNA
Source: RNAcentral